Molecule: non-coding RNA, 28 nt
Filed under: Homo sapiens (human)
Lineage: Eukaryota; Metazoa; Chordata; Mammalia; Primates; Hominidae
Source: RNAcentral
AGGGUCAAGAGCCUGCUAAGAUGUGUCC